RNAcentral lists this ribosomal RNA (468 nucleotides) under uncultured bacterium. RNAcentral's name for it is "partial 16S ribosomal RNA". It matches the Rfam family "Bacterial small subunit ribosomal RNA", at positions 28 to 507 of the family's 1533-position model. The record is from RNAcentral.
GACGAACGCUGGCGGCGUGCUUAACACAUGCAAGUCGAACGGAAAGGCCCUGCUUUUGUGGGGUGCUCGAGUGGCGAACGGGUGAGUAACACGUGAGUAACCUGCCCUUGACUUUGGGAUAACUUCAGGAAACUGGGGCUAAUACCGGAUAUGAGCUCCUGCUGCAUGGUGGGGGUUGGAAAGUUUCGGCGGUUGGGGAUGGACUCGCGGCUUAUCAGCUUGUUGGUGGGGUAGUGGAUUACCAAGGCUUUGACGGGUAGCCGGCCUGGGAGGGUGACCGGCCACAUUGGGACUGAGAUACGGCCAAGACUCCUACGGGAGGCAGCAGUGGGGAAUAUUGCACAAUGGGCGGAAGCCUGAUGCAGCAACGCCGCGUGCGGGAUGACGGCCUUCGGGUUGUAAACCGCUUUCGCCUGUGACGAAGAGUGAGUGACGGUAAUGGGUAAAGAAGCACCGGCUAACUACGUG